Molecule: ribosomal RNA, 253 nt
Filed under: uncultured bacterium
Lineage: Bacteria
Description: partial 16S ribosomal RNA
Rfam family: Bacterial small subunit ribosomal RNA
Source: RNAcentral
UACGUAGGGGGCAAGCGUUGUCCGGAAUCAUUGGGCGUAAAGCGCGCGUAGGCGGCCCGAUAAGUCCGCUGUAAAAGUCCAGGGCUCAACCCUGGGAUGCGGGUGGAUACUGCCGGGCUCGAGUCCGGAAGAGGCGAGUGGAAUUCCCGGUGUAGCGGUGAAAUGCGCAGAUAUCGGGAGGAACACCAAUGGCGAAGGCAGCUCGCUGGGACGUGACUGACGCUGAGACGCGAAAGCGUGGGGAGCAAACAGG